AAGCUCAAAUUUGAAAUCUGGCACCUUCGGUGUCCGAGUUGUAAUUUGAAGAAGGUAACUUUGGAGUUGGCUCUUGUCUAUGUUCCUUGGAACAGGACGUCACAGAGGGUGAGAAUCCCGUGCGAUGAGAUGCCCAAUUCUAUGUAAAGUGCUUUCGAAGAGUCGAGUUGUUUGGGAAUGCAGCUCUAAGUGGGUGGUAAAUUCCAUCUAAAGCUAAAUAUUGGCGAGAGACCGAUAGCGAACAAGUACAGUGAUGGAAAGAUGAAAAGAACUUUGAAAAGAGAGUGAAAAAGUACGUGAAAUUGUUGAAAGGGAAGGGCUUGAGAUCAGACUUGGUAUUUUGCGAUCCUUUCCUUCUUGGUUGGGUUCCUCGCAGCUUACUGGGCCAGCAUCGGUUUGGAUGGUAGGAUAAUGACUAAGGAAUGUGGCUCUACUUCGGUGGAGUGUUAUAGCCUUGGUUGAUACUGCCUGUCUAGACCGAGGACUGCGUCUUUUGACUAGGAUGUUGGCAUAAUGAUCUUAAGCCAC
Molecule: ribosomal RNA, 528 nt
Filed under: Debaryomyces hansenii
Lineage: Eukaryota; Fungi; Ascomycota; Pichiomycetes; Serinales; Debaryomycetaceae
Description: eukaryotic LSU rRNA
Rfam family: Eukaryotic large subunit ribosomal RNA
Source: RNAcentral